GACAUUCCGGUGGCCACCUUUCGGCUCUGAAAAGUAUCUUAAUACUACACUUAGCUUGCACAAGCUAAGUAACCCUGCUGCUGGUGCUAAAAGCUUCUAUAGACUUAUGGACUGUGGACUUAUGGCCUCGAAAAACUACGGCACUACUAUAACCCAACCCACCAAAAUCGAUCGAGGUGUGUGGCUCUCCUUCCCCGUGCAUCGCUUAGCCGUCCGUGCUGUGGAAUGUGCUGCAAUGGGUUUGAAUGCAACAUUUUCGUUCCGUUCCGUUCCGAACACCACACGCUCACGAACCCGGCGACUUCACAGUAGCUUUUGAUCUCUUUGAAAAUUUCACCAAGAGCGCCAGCCAGCACCACCAAUUCGAGUGCCGGCGAUGGAGAAAAAUCUCGAGCACGUAGUCUGCCGGGGGUGGGGUUUGGAAAAACCCGUGAAAAGGCACGAAAGUUCCCAACAUCAUAUUCCCCCCCAUCCCGAAAACUCGAAUGUUCCUUUUUGUCUUCCUUUUCUGCCGUCCGGCAACCAUGCAACACACUCAAUGCUGUGCACCACCCCUAGUGUGUUGCAGCAGUGUUCGUGCCUGUGGUUUUGGAUAUGUCCCUAGGGUGGUGGUAACCUCUGUAGCAUCGAUCGGAAAUCGAUCGGAACUAGGAGGGCGGGGAAGCGAUGGGAUACAAAAAGCGGAACCGAUUGAACUAUGAAGCUCUAAAUACACGAACCGUCGAAGCUCCCGAGCUCUCACAGCGCGGUGUAGAGGGUCUGCUCACGUAGAAAACGUUCGCCAGAUGGGUGUUUAAUUUGCUGUUUUGGAGGGCAUCCUGGGAACCGUGCCGCCGCCUCCCCCAGAGUGGUGGUGGUAGUGGUGUGACGCUCAUAAAUUUGCUAGUAAAAUUCAGCGCUUUUCCCCGCUGGCUGCGGAUGUAGAUUACGCUUACGAAAGCCAGGCGAGGGUUACGACCAAACAUACUGCAUCUUGGUUUCAUAAAAUGGCCUUCUGGGUGCAGCGUUUCUUAAACUGCUCAUUCCAUUGUUGGUCCUUGUGCAUAUUGGGCGCUAGGGAAUACAAUCCAUACACACACACACACACGCGCGCGCGCGGCUUCUUUAAAUAUCCACAACGGUGGCCACAUCGGAGUAAACAAUACUCUCUAGCGGUGGCGUGAACGGGAGGAGCCUGUGAAGGGUACCACCGUUUGCGGUUUCUAAUUAUGCUUCAAAUGAGCGGCUUUCCAACACCUAGCUGCUAUAUUUGUACGUGUCUGUAUGUGUGUGUGUGUGGUGUAGUGUACGGGGAAAUGUACCGGAAAUUGAACUGCUGUUUUCCCGUGCAGCACGCGCAGCGAGGAAACCUUUGGGGGCACACUAAUAAAUGGUUUAUUUGCAGUUUCGACACCACAACCACUGUAUGUGUGGAUGGUGGAGGGUGAAUAAUGAAGUAUGAAGUUCACAGGUUACGGUUCCGCUGGGUUAAAAAAACACCCUCUAGCUACCUUUUCCUUUCUCGCGCACGGAAUGGUGUCUCGCGGAAAUAAAGGUUUAUUAUUAGCGACAUCUAGUGGCUUCUCGCGCACAUCGUGCAGUUGUUGUUGUUGUUGGUGGUGCUGGUAGUUCCAAGCUCAAUCCCGGAAAUGGCACGAAUAAUGAUGAGCGUGGAGAGAGCUGGGCUGGGAUGGGAUGCUGCUAAUUGAAUGAAACCCCUCCCAUCAUCCUUGCUGCUGCUGCUGCUGCUGCUCUUUCCUUGUUUUCCGCCUCCUACAAAGUGGUACAAUAAACACAAGGCCGUUCGAUAAGGACUAGGGGGGAUACCUUGCUAGACGUGCCCUUUGUUGUCGUAGUUGUGGAAAAUUUGUGGCCCCAUAAUGAAAGGAGGCUGCGCUCGCUCCUUCCUCGCGAAGCAUCGAUUAUCGCGACCGGGGAAGCCCGCUUGCAAGUAAUCGUCUUGCCGGCAAAGCAAACCAUCUUGGUGGUACUAGGUAGUACACACAAUCGCCUCCAUCAUCGCCUCCUUUGUUGUUAUUGGUUGGUUGGUGCCCGGGUGGCUACAACGACUUGCUUACGGGCCUGGGUCUGUAGCAAUUCGUCGCCAUCCACAACCGUCCAUCAUUUACCGUUAAGUGUUGUGAUUUGUGCCCCUGUCGGUGGGAAAUUGUUUUUGGCCAAAUGGGAGAGGAAAGGAGCGCCAUCGGCCUUUGGGUUGUGUUGGUGAAGGGCUUUCCACGAUUGUAAGGGUGAGGGUGCGAUUGAUUAAACUGAUCUCACCUUCUUCUCACCUGCCUCGAUGCCGCGAGCGCUAAAGCAACGUAAUUUAAAUAUGUAAUUCACUCGAAAGAGAAAGGGGCCAGCUUAUGGUGUUGAGAUGAGAUAAGUUCGAUUACAUAAUGAAUGAAUGCAAAUUUGUACAGUUUACGGUACGUUUCAAGAUAAUUUAAUUGUUAAAGUAGUUUAAAGUCGAUAGGAAGACUCAAAAAAGGCUUUUACAAGUUAGUAAUCAUUGCUCGUAAUUGCACUCUACCUUAAAAGUCUGCCAAUGGUAUGCCGAUUGCCUAGAUGCAGGGGCAUGAAUAGAACAAGUUGCAUGGUAGCAAUUUUAGUGCACAACUAAAUGCUUACGAUCGCAAAAUAAUUUAACUUGAUGAUGAGCUCACAGAGCAUUCAAACUGCGGUUCUUGUUUUAGUGAUAUUUGCGCGAAAGCUCAUAACAUCCACGUUAGCUAUACGAACCGAAAAGGAAUUCAUAUGUGUCUGUUUGUGUGUGUGCUUGUGUGCAUUACUGUCUCUCAUCCAUAUCGAAAGUUAUGUCCUCGUAAACUGCUGUAAAUUAUGCACCUUUCAUCAACACCGGGGGGAGGGGGGAAUUUCAACGACCCUUUCUCUUCCAUUUAUUCUGAAAAUCGAACCACACUAGCGCCGGAUGAAUGCAACGUGCGUCGUCCGUUAGAGUGUGUGUUAGUGGUAUCAGUGGAUUCCCCCUCAGGAACUAUAAAUUCAUCCGCUUUACGAACAGCCGUCACACGAACAGCCGCGCACACCACCCAAGUUACCCAAGAAUCGAUGUGCCCAAGAGUUGCGAGCUUGGAAAAUGCAUCCAUUGCCAUUCCAGCUAGGAAAGAUGCGACGAGAGAGAGAGAGAGCAACGAGGAGGGGCAGGCAAUCCCUAUCGAAUUUCGAGUACACACACAGAGGAGUGCUAGUGUUCUGCUCGAGUUUGUGGUGGUGCAAGUUAAGCGAUGCCGAAUCAUCGUUUUUCGAUAAUAUGUCGGUAAUAUGUCGGCGAGAAAGGGGGGGGGAGUCCACAAAUUUCCCAAUCCUUUUCAAUUUACCAUCAACUAUUCCCGUUCCACGUGUGCGUGUGUGAGCCACCACGGUACAUCCAAUUUAUCAUAGAAAAAAGGAAACGGAUGCAGGAGACGAACCCCUGAAUAGCGCCGGGAAUCGAUGAAUUUGCGAUGCUUUUGUUUGCCAAAUUUUAAUUGCCCUUGCCUAAAAAGGAUGAGCGCCAGCCUUCUAUCAUCAUCAUCAUCAUGCUGUUUCGCUUCGGGUUCAAUUUCGAAUCGGGCGUGAGCUUACUAAAUUCGCGGGAAAACUCGGGAAAUUAAUGUCCAUAAACAAGCACUUCUUAUCCCCCCUCCUUCUGUUUGAUGAAAAUGAUUAAAACAUUUCCAAUAAUCGGUCAGAGUAUUGAAAACAAAAUUAAUUUGAAAUAUUUCGCUCCAAUCCCAACCGGAUUCAGUUGCGCCGACCACACACAAAAGCAGCGCGCGAACGCGCUCUCUGUGUCCUUUUGGAGGAGAUAUUCGGCCCGACGGCCACCACCAAAACGUGCCAACUGGACCGCGAACGAUUGAGAGAGAGAGAGAGGAAGAAAUGUCCUUUCCAUCAUCUAUUCCCUCCCCAGGGACAAAUCCGAGACAAAACGCGGAACCGGGAAAACUCGACGGUAAAAUCAGUGGACUAUUUUCCGGAAAUCAAUAUGUAAAUUACGACACACAACUGUGCGCUGUCGAUGGGUGCUGUUGUUUUUUUUGCCUACCGGAAGUGUCCCACGAUGGAGGAGGGGGAGAACGGCAGUGUGUCCAUCGAUAAUGAAGUGUCAAUAAAAUCGUAUUAUAAAUGUCUGAUCAAGUCACAAGUCGGUGGUUUGCCAUUCGAUGGGCCGAUGGGUGAUGGGUGGGAAAAUGCGAUUAAUAACCCCCCCACCGCCAUACAAUUUGUACAUUUUCACUUUCAUUUAAUCGGUUUCAUGGUCCAGCUUCAUCGGGUUGUGGAGACGGACGGUGAUGCAAAAUAAACAAAUUAAUAAAUUCCAAUUUGAUGGGAAUCAUCGGGGGGAGACUCACAAACAGUGUUGUUGAUGAGCGAAGUGGUCAUAAAAAUCGAAGUUGUGCGCCUUCUUCCCUUCUUUUGGUGGGUGAUUUUGGGUGGAUUGGACACAUUUUGGCACAACUUUGUUUAAUCCCGACGGGAGGGGGAAGAGUUGGGUUGUGUGUGCUGAAAAGAACUGUAAACGCUUAAAAGAAAAGAACUCGCCUUUUUGUUAUGACGACCCCUUAUUUUGCCAUUUUCAAUUCAGGGCAGACAAAUGCCACUCGCCCUCCCCUCCCCCAAAGCACGGUGAGGGUCUCUGGGUCUGGUCUCUGGUGCUGCGUUUUGCGCCGAUGAUGAAACACGACGUUGUUUGCUGCGGCCGUAAUUUAUGCAUUCGUAAACAGAUCGUAAAACCCUGCCUCUGCUCUCUCGCCGGUUCGGUUUGUGUGUUUUCUCCGGCAGCUUUGUGACGUUGCUGCAGACUCCUCCUUUGCCCGGUUUUUUUCGGGAACUUUCCGGGAAGGAGGUGUGUUUCGCGCAAUUUAAAUUCAACCACCAACCAAGGCGAGAGCAGAAGAGGAGGACUGCUCCAGGCACACACACACAAGAGAGAGUACCACAGAUUGUGGAUCACUGAACCUUCUAAUGAUAGGCCGUAUUAUAAAGCGCACCACCCGAUCCCUCACCACUUUCGGCAUAAUCCUCCGGGUCCUCCGGCCUCAAACCGUACAGAACACAUUUCGUGGAUAUGCAAAUAAUCUGCCCUCUCUCCUCUCCACAUCCCCCUGGAGGGGUUCGAAAUUGAAUUGGAUCCAUCCAUGCUUUCUUUUACUCCUUUUUCUGGAUGAAGCGGAGAGCAGAGUGCCGAAGAUGGCAAGAUUCAUUCCACACUGCCGUAAAGAUAGCUAGAACGUAAAGACAUAGCUCCAAAUUGGUUUCGGCUCUAUUAGGUGGGGCACUCCCGAGGGAGACGAUGUGCGGAUGUGUGUGUGUCUGUAUCCGUUGAUUACCGUAAUCAGUUGAAGAAAGUAAAUUAUGAAGCAAAGUGGCACUUCAGGUGACAUUCCAAAGCGGCAAAGAGGAAAAGAAGAGGAGGAGUAUUCCAAGGCACACUUUGGUAAUCAUUUUCCUUACAUUUCCUUCGGAGCGUACUUUCUGCUUGGACGCUUUAUUUUGCUUAUUCAGUGGAUGUCAAGUAAUGCAAGUGUGCCAUGCUUUGAAGGAAAUCCUGUGAUGUAAGAUUGAUUGAUUUUUCGCUUCGCUACCACCCAGACCAACAGUGUCUCUUUGUCUUUGUGGAAGUAAGUGGGUUAAAUUAAUUCUGUUUUGAGCUCAAAGGAUGAGAUAAAUAUUUUUCAAAUAAUUGACGAGCAAAAGCAAGUAAUAUUGAUGGCCCUGUAGCUUGAGAUGAAACACGAAGGUUAUCUGAAGUUCCCUUAACUCCUUGCAGAAGAUUGCGCUUUUAGGUUGCAUUAUCUUGUCAUACUUCCCAGAAAAUGGUUCUUGCCUACCAUCGCAUAAAGGUUUAUCUCUUCAUCUUCCCUCCGACUGGUGAUUGCAGUGAAAACAAGCAUCUUAAACCAAUCGGAACCUUUGGCCUAUCAAUCGAAAAGAAAUACUUUAAUCAAACCAAUUGCCUCAGAGAGAGAGAGAGUGAGAUGCUUUUAACAUCGGUUUCGUUUGAUCAAAAACCCCAUCGGCCGGUCGGCUGGAAAUGAAUUGCUGUGAAGAUUUGUAAACACAAUUGUGCACAAGAGCCGAGAAAACGGACCAGCCCCCACCAAGAGGGAAAACCAUUCAAUGGUGAAGGAGAAAACAACCAACCCAAGAAAAUAGACCUAAGAAGGAGGAAAGGUCUCUCAGACGACAACGACGACGACGGCGUUAUUGAGCU
This is a long non-coding RNA of Anopheles arabiensis, 6199 nucleotides long. RefSeq lists it as uncharacterized. The record is from RefSeq and is a predicted model, not a curated record. The transcript is spliced from 2 exons. NCBI's taxonomy places the organism in Eukaryota, Metazoa, Arthropoda, Insecta, Diptera, Culicidae.